RNAcentral lists this ribosomal RNA (548 nucleotides) under uncultured bacterium. RNAcentral describes it as "bacterial SSU rRNA". It matches the Rfam family "Bacterial small subunit ribosomal RNA", at positions 355 to 895 of the family's 1533-position model. The record is from RNAcentral.
UAGGGAAUCUUCCACAAUGGGCGCAAGCCUGAUGGAGCAACACCGCGUGAGUGAAGAAGGGUUUCGGCUCGUAAAGCUCUGUUGUUAAAGAAGAACACGUAUGAGAGUAACUGUUCAUACGUUGACGGUAUUUAACCAGAAAGUCACGGCUAACUACGUGCCAGCAGCCGCGGUAAUACGUAGGUGGCAAGCGUUAUCCGGAUUUAUUGGGCGUAAAGAGAGUGCAGGCGGUUUUCUAAGUCUGAUGUGAAAGCCUUCGGCUUAACCGGAGAAGUGCAUCGGAAACUGGAUAACUUGAGUGCAGAAGAGGGUAGUGGAACUCCAUGUGUAGCGGUGGAAUGCGUAGAUAUAUGGAAGAACACCAGUGGCGAAGGCGGCUACCUGGUCUGCAACUGACGCUGAGACUCGAAAGCAUGGGUAGCGAACAGGAUUAGAUACCCUGGUAGUCCAUGCCGUAACGGUGAGUGCUAGGUGUUGGAGGGUUUCCGCCCUUCAGUGCCGGAGCUAACGCAUUAAGCACUCCGCCUGGGGAGUACGACCGCAAGGUU